Molecule: long non-coding RNA, 2287 nt
Organism: Prosopis cineraria
Lineage: Eukaryota; Viridiplantae; Streptophyta; Magnoliopsida; Fabales; Fabaceae
Exons: 2
Source: RefSeq, a predicted model, not a curated record
UUGAGUGCUGUGAUGAGCAGCAUCGGGUUUCAGAAGCAUGAGAGAGAGAGAAACCUCUCCUUUCAAGAUAAAAAAAAAUACAAUAACUCAUGGGAAAACUUGAAUAAAGUGUUUCCUCAUUCACGCUUCUGGAACUCCAGAAGUUUGUUGCCACCGUAGCCGUUGUUGCUCGUCGCAGCGUUGCCAUAACCUUCCUAGCUCGUUACUGCUCUUCACAGUCGUUGUCUUCCUCACUCGUCACCGGUGCUUUCGUUGCUUGUUGCCCUUCUUCUGUGUCUGGUUAAAGGAGAGAUUUCUCUCUAUUGUUUGGAAUAAAUUACAGGUUGUCCUGCCACUCACGAUCUCUGCCUUCUUCUGCACUCGUCGCUGUCGUCCUGUAGUUGUCGCUUACUAUGAUCGUUGCUGUUGCCCUCUAGCUGCUGUUGAUCUAAAGUGGUUCUGUUGCUACCCUUCUCUCUCUGUGUAUCAUCCCCCUCUUUUUGUGAUUUUUGGUCUUUUUCUUGUUAAUAUGGCUCAAUACACUUCAAUUCGUGCUAGCUAUGUUGGCUCUAUUGGAAUGAUUUCUUUGAACAGCAUUUUGCUUUUGCCAGAGUGAUUGAUAAUCGCAGAGUACAUGCCUCUAAGUUGGAAUUUUUAGUUCAUCAUGGAAGCUUAAGGGACAAAUAUCUAUGGCUCAACAAUUUAGAAAUUACUCCCUGUUCUAUUUUCAGUCAGAGGAGGAUUUGAAGUUUAUGAUAUCUCAUGGCUGAUGGCUUUUACAAGGAGAACUGGGUCAUAUCAGCUAGUACGCAGUGUUACUGGAAUCCGAGUUUGGCCGAAGAAGAUCAAUGCAAAACAAUCACCUGCGUCACAAAUGCAAGAUCAUUUGCAAACCUUGGGUAUAAAGAGGAAAGGGGAGGACACAGAUAAUCCUUUUGUCACAAGUUUUAAAAGAGGAAGAAAACCAUAUUUAAUGAUUCCUCUACUAUUCAGUUGACUGAGUCCCAAGACGUGCAGGAUGCUUCCAAUCCAAGCUCUUAUGUGAAGCCUCAACUUACGAGCAUCACUUUACCCGGUAGUGUCUUGGUAAACGCCAGAGAAAUGAAAUUCAUUGCAUAACUAUCAGGAUCCUCCAAAAUCUGGGGUUCUUUUAUUCAGCAAAAGCUCAUCAAAAUUCUGCUAGAAAAUUUGCUUAAGACUGGAAUUUGAUUAGUCCUUUAUCUAUUUCCCGUAAGUUUGGACCAGAGUUGAGCUUUAUCAGUACCAUCAUCUCAACAUUGGCUCAAACUGCUAGGGGAGUUAAAAGAGUGCUCGAUGAAUCUCACUCAGAUGCCUUUAUUGACUUGGGCUCUUGUAGAGCUUCUGCCAAAAAGCUCUGCCAGCCUGUAUGAUAGUUCUGAGGGUCUCUAAACUGCUUUUGCCUACUAGUAUAUUAGGUCUUAUGUUUUUCUUUUUGUUUUUUUUUCUUAUUAUUACGAGGCAAUCAAAAUCACAAACUCCAACUUCAAGGUUUAUGAUCCAUAAGCACUAGGUUUCUUCUUCAUGCUGCUGCACGAUAAUGCAAGGAGUUCUUGGAUGUUGAUUGCUUUUGUGCCUGUAUUUGGCUUCUUGAAUCCAAAUUGGUGUUCUAGUGUUUACUGUAGAGGUUCCAGAAUUGCAUAUGGUUUUGGUGCUCGUGUUGUCAUCAACCUAUCUGUUAACCUCCACCGUCUCUAUUUCUCUGCUGGCUUCUGAUCAGCAUUGCAAACCCCAUGGGGUAUUUCAGGGUGCCUUUCUUUGCCACCUUAGUAGGAAUGGGUAACGAUGCACUAUUUCACUCUGUCUUCUUCGUCAAUGGAUUAUUCAGCUAAUAGAACAGAGGUUUCUCAAAAUUGAGGCUAUCAACAACAUCAGCUAGCUUAAGUUGGAUGCAGCACUUGCAUCGGUCCAUUUGGACUCUUUGGUUGCUUUUACUUGUGAAAGCUUUAGGUUAUAUUCGGCUUGUUCUGGCUGAUAACUAUCGUCACUUGCCGUGGCUAUUAUAUGCAUUGCUAUGGUUCUUCAAAUCGUACGGGAGAAUUUUCAUAGAGUUGACUGAGAUUCAACUCUCUCUAUUGCUCGCGAAGACGACAGCAACUGGCUUUUAGAGCUAGUUAGAAAGACUUUUGUGCCAGCCAUUACUCUUUUCAUCUGCCAGCACCUUUCAAAGAUAUCUUGGGCUUUUUGUUGGUUUUUGAGUCAUUGACUGUUUUCUCCUUUUAUGCUCUUAGGGUGCUGUGUUUGUUUGAGUCUUAUUUUUCAUUGUUCUCAUGUAAUUUCUCUAGUUUCA